This 484-nucleotide ribosomal RNA is filed under the name uncultured bacterium. RNAcentral's name for it is "partial 16S ribosomal RNA". It matches the Rfam family "Bacterial small subunit ribosomal RNA", at positions 30 to 505 of the family's 1533-position model. The record is from RNAcentral.
AUUGAACGCUGGCGGCAUGCCUUACACAUGCAAGUCGAACGGCAGCACGGGUGCUUGCACCUGGUGGCGAGUGGCGAACGGGUGAGUAAUACAUCGGAACAUGUCCUGUAGUGGGGGAUAGCCCGGCGAAAGCCGGAUUAAUACCGCAUACGAUCUACGGAUGACAGCGGGGGACCUUCGGGCCUCGCGCUAUAGGGUUGGCCGAUGGCUGAUUAACUAGUUGGUGGGGUAAAGGCCUACCAAGGCGACGAUCAGUAGCUGGUCUGAGAGGACGACCAGCCACACUGGGACUGAGACACGGCCCAGACUCCGACGGGAGGCAGAAGUGGGGAAUUUUGGACAAUGGGCGAAAGCCUGAUCCAGCAAUGCCGCGUGUGUGAAGAAGGCCUUCGGGUUGUAAAGCACUUUUGUCCGGAAAGAAAUCCUUGGCCCUAAUACGGUCGGGGGAUGACGGUACCGGAAGAAUAAGCACCGGCUAACUACG